CACUCCUACGGGAGGCAGCAGUGGGGAAUUUUGGACAAUGGGCGAAAGCCUGAUCCAGCAAUGCCGCGUGAGUGAAGAAGGCCUUCGGGUUGUAAAGCUCUUUUGUCAGGGAAGAAACGGUGAAAGCUAAUAUCUUUUGCUAAUGACGGUACCUGAAGAAUAAGCACCGGCUAACUACGUGCCAGCAGCCGCGGUAAUACGUAGGGUGCAAGCGUUAAUCGGAAUUACUGGGCGUAAAGCGUGCGCAGGCGGUUUUGUAAGUCUGAUGUGAAAUCCCCGGGCUCAACCUGGGAAUUGCAUUGGAGACUGCAAGGCUAGAAUCUGGCAGAGGGGGGUAGAAUUCCACGUGUAGCAGUGAAAUGCGUAGAUAUGUGGAGGAACACCGAUGGCGAAGGCAGCCCCCUGGGUCAAGAUUGACGCUCAUGCACGAAAGCGUGGGGAGCAAACAGGAUUAGAUACACCUGUAGUCCCAUG
Molecule: ribosomal RNA, 474 nt
Filed under: uncultured organism
Description: partial 16S ribosomal RNA
Rfam family: Bacterial small subunit ribosomal RNA
Source: RNAcentral